Molecule: unclassified non-coding RNA, 325 nt
Filed under: plant metagenome
Description: partial contains 5.8S ribosomal RNA, internal transcribed spacer 2, and large subunit ribosomal RNA
Rfam family: 5.8S ribosomal RNA (bases 1-106)
Source: RNAcentral
GAAAUGCGAUACGUAAUGUGAAUUGCAGAAUUCAGUGAAUCAUCGAGUCUUUGAACGCACAUUGCGCCCCCUGGUAUUCCGGGGGGGCAUGCCUGUCCGAGCGUCAUUGCUGCCCUCAAGCACGGCUUGUGUGUUGGGCCCCCGUCCCCCCCCCAAGGGGACGGGCCCGAAAGGCAGCGGCGGUACCGUGUCCGGUCCUCGAGCGUAUGGGAAGCAACUUUUUGUCACCCGCUCCUGUAGGUCCGGCCGGCGGCCUGCCCAACCCCAACCUUUUUUUCAACCAGGUUGACCUCGGAUCAGGUAGGGAUACCCGCUGAACUUAAGC